GACGUAGGGGGCGAGCGUUGUCCGGAAUUACUGGGCGUAAAGAGCACGUAGGCGGGAACUUAAGUCAGGUGUGAAAGACCGUGGCUCAACCACGGGUAUGCAUUUGAAACUGGGUUUCUUGAGGGCAGGAGAGGAAAGCAGAAUUCCUGGUGUAGCGGUGAAAUGCGUAGAAAUCAGGAGGAAUACCAGUGGCGAAGGCGGCUUUCUGGACUGACCCUGACGCUGAGGUGCGAAAGCGUGGGUAGCAAACAGGAUUAGAUACCCCCGUAGUCCCUGAG
This 278-nucleotide ribosomal RNA is filed under the name uncultured prokaryote. Its description in RNAcentral is "partial 16S ribosomal RNA". It matches the Rfam family "Bacterial small subunit ribosomal RNA", at positions 524 to 801 of the family's 1533-position model. The record is from RNAcentral.